CCUACGGGUGGCUGCAGUGGGGAAUAUUGCACAAUGGGGGGAACCCUGAUGCAGCAACGCCGCGUGGGUGAAGAAGUACCCCGGUAUGUAAAGCCCUGUCAGUAGGGAAGAAAAUGACGGUACCUGACCACGAAGCCCCGGCUAACUACGAGCCAGCAGCCGCGGUAAUACGUAGGGGGCCAGCGUUAUCCGGAUUUACCGGGUGUAAAGGGAGCGUAGUCGGCAAGGCAAGUCUGGAGUGAAAGCCCGUGGCCCAACCCCGGGACUGCUUUUGAAACUGGGAUGCUGGAGUGCAGGAGGGGUAAGCGGAAUUCCUGGUGUAGCGGUGAAAUGCGUAGAUAUUAGGAAGAACACCGAUGGCGAAGGCAGCAUACUGGACCGUAACUGACGUUGAGGCUCGAAAGCGUGGGGAGCAAACAGGAUUAGAUACCCCGGUAGUC
Molecule: ribosomal RNA, 440 nt
Filed under: uncultured bacterium
Lineage: Bacteria
Description: partial 16S ribosomal RNA
Rfam family: Bacterial small subunit ribosomal RNA
Source: RNAcentral